This is a non-coding RNA of Rattus norvegicus (Norway rat), 1472 nucleotides long. The record is from RefSeq and is a predicted model, not a curated record. NCBI's taxonomy places the organism in Eukaryota, Metazoa, Chordata, Mammalia, Rodentia, Muridae.
CACCACGGUCCGCAUGGUCAAGCACUGGCUCUGCCGAUAUCUGCCUGCUCUCCCUGGCCCGCCUCAGCUCCUCAUUCCUGGAGAUGUCUCUUCGCUUUGCCUGUCCCAGAAUGCCAUCCCCCAGGCCAGUGUCAGGAAGGUGGCAAGCCGUGACAUUCUAGCCAUGUAUGUGACCGUGGAUGGAACCCACCAGGAACCCGCCUUUCCGCUACAGAGCACUGAAACUGGGAACAGUUUGUUACACGGCAAGAACGCAUGUGUCCUGACCGACUUCUGUCCACACACAGCACCAAUUUCCUCAGUCGGAUUGUGGCCUUCAGUGUCAGAGCCACAGAGGGCCACCACCCAACGCCUGCCGACCUAAGCUGUCAUGAGAUGAGCAAGGUCCCCCAUCACAUCCUUCCACCAUGAUACUUCCUCACUACGGCCCCAAAGCCGUGAGCCAGCCCACCUCGUACUGAAGACCGACAGACGCUGUGAGCCGAAACCACCCAUCCUCCCUGGGAAGGGUCCUUCUCAGAUGUUGGUGAUGUCAGCAGCAAACUGGCUGAUGCAGAUUAUGCUCCUUUCCCACAAUCUUAUGCGAUCCCUCUUAGGACAUUCCUGAGCCCAGAUUCUACCCGUCUCUAGGUCCAGGAGAUGCUGGAGAAGUGAUGGGGGCCUGGCUAAUCAAAGCUCACCCUAUGGAUUCUGAGAGUCCAGGCCAGGAAGACCAGAUGGCUGGUAGAUCGUCAACUGGGCCUGCACAAAGGCUUCUGGGCUAUCACGUACAGCCCUGCCUCUGCUCUUGGGUCCUUGCCUCCAGCCACCAGAGGUCUUCAGAUCCUGUCAGCUCAGGUUGCAAUAGUGUCAGUUUCUCUUCUAAGUUGGCCGAGGCUGGCCCCAGGUGUCACCGCUAUACCUCCAAACCAAGGGCACAGUUUGGGAGAGCACAGCUGUAGUCUAUCCUGGGGACAUGCUGGGGGCUGGAGAAGAGAAGGGAGGCUGUUUGGGGCUGACGGCUGAAAAGAUGGCUGCUGCUGAGGGGAGCCCUGGCUCUGGUGGGCUGCUUUGAGGGCUGACUCUGUUUAUUUAAAUUAACUGAACCAUAAAUCAUGUCUGUCACAUCCCAGUCCCAUAAGUCCUAUAGACAUCUGCUGGCUUCUCUGGUAGAAUUGCUCUGGGCAUCGGAAGAUAGUCCCCACGCAGUUAGCUGGUACGACAACUUUACAUCACCUGUGUUUUUUAUUCUCAGAUCCCAGGUUUCUGUAAUGGCCCUGGGACAGUUUGGUGCCUCAGCAGUCAUGGGAGGAGGGCGAGAUCAAUAGCAGGAUGAAGGACCCUUUUAACACGCUGGAGAGAUGGCUCAGCGGUUAAGAGCACCGGCUGCUCUUCCAGGGGUCCUGAGUUCAAAUCCCAGCAACCACAUGGUGGCUCACAACCAUCUAUAAUGAGAUCUGAUGCCUUCUUCUGGUGUGUUUGAAGACAGUGAC